UCCAAUGUGGUGUAGUGGUUAACAUUGCUGUCUUUCAUUAAGGUUCUUCGCACAGCAGCCCGGGGUUCGAUUCCCCGCAUUGGAA
RNAcentral lists this transfer RNA (85 nucleotides) under Lentinula boryana. Its description in RNAcentral is "tRNA-Glu". It matches the Rfam family "tRNA". From Rfam's summary of the family: Transfer RNA (tRNA) molecules are approximately 80 nucleotides in length. Their secondary structure includes four short double-helical elements and three loops (D, anti-codon, and T loops). Further hydrogen bonds mediate the characteristic L-shaped molecular structure. tRNAs have two regions of fundamental functional importance: the anti-codon, which is responsible for specific mRNA codon recognition, and the 3' end, to which the tRNAs corresponding amino acid is attached (by aminoacyl-tRNA synthetases). tRNAs cope with the degeneracy of the genetic code in two manners: having more than one tRNA (with a specific anti-codon) for a particular amino acid; and 'wobble' base-pairing, i.e. permitting non-standard base-pairing at the 3rd anti-codon position. RNAcentral also lists the same sequence under 1 other name. Lineage: Eukaryota; Fungi; Basidiomycota; Agaricomycetes; Agaricales; Omphalotaceae. The record is from RNAcentral.